Molecule: ribosomal RNA, 303 nt
Filed under: uncultured bacterium
Lineage: Bacteria
Description: partial 16S ribosomal RNA
Rfam family: Bacterial small subunit ribosomal RNA
Source: RNAcentral
AGCAGUAGCCGCGGUAAAACAGAGGGUGCGAGCGUUAAUCGGAUUUACUGGGCGUAAAGCGUGCGUAGGCGGCUUCUUAAGUCGGAUGUGAAAUCCCUGAGCUUAACUUAGGAAUUGCAUUCGAUACUGGGAAGCUAGAGUAUGGGAGAUGAUGGUAGAAUUCCAGGUGUAGCGGUGAAAUGCGUAGAGAUCUGGAGGAAUACCGAUGGCGAAGGCAGCCAUCUGGCCUAAUACUGACGCUGAGGUACGAAAGCAUGGGGAGCAAACAGGAUUAGAUACCCUGUAGUCCCUGUCUCUUAUACA